RNAcentral lists this ribosomal RNA (758 nucleotides) under uncultured bacterium. RNAcentral describes it as "bacterial SSU rRNA". It matches the Rfam family "Bacterial small subunit ribosomal RNA", at positions 1 to 754 of the family's 1533-position model. The record is from RNAcentral.
UAGAGUUUGAUCCUGGCUCAGAUUGAACGCUGGCGGCAGGCUUAACACAUGCAAGUCGAGCGGGGGAGAUUACUUCGGUAAUUGACCUAGCGGCGGACGGGUGAGUAAUACUUAGGAAUCUGCCUAUUAAUGGGGGACAACAUCUCGAAAGGGAUGCUAAUACCGCAUACGCCCUACGGGGGAAAGCAGGGGAUCACUUGUGACCUUGCGUUAAUAGAUGAGCCUAAGUCGGAUUAGCUAGUUGGUGGGGUAAAGGCCUACCAAGGCGACGAUCUGUAGCGGGUCUGAGAGGAUGAUCCGCCACACUGGGACUGAGACACGGCCCAGACUCCUACGGGAGGCAGCAGUGGGGAAUAUUGGACAAUGGGGGGAACCCUGAUCCAGCCAUGCCGCGUGUGUGAAGAAGGCCUUAUGGUUGUAAAGCACUUUAAGCGAGGAGGAGGCUCUUCUAGUUAAUACCUAGGAUGAGUGGACGUUACUCGCAGAAUAAGCACCGGCUAACUCUGUGCCAGCAGCCGCGGUAAUACAGAGGGUGCGAGCGUUAAUCGGAUUUACUGGGCGUAAAGCGUGCGUAGGCGGCUUUUUAAGUCGGAUGUGAAAUCCCCGAGCUUAACUUGGGAAUUGCAUUCGAUACUGGGAAGCUAGAGUAUGGGAGAGGAUGGUAGAAUUCCAGGUGUAGCGGUGAAAUGCGUAGAGAUCUGGAGGAAUACCGAUGGCGAAGGCAGCCAUCUGGCCUAAUACGACGCUAGWCNAAGCGC